GUGUUUGCUUUGUUAGCACAUAUACUGAAAAUUGAAAUGAUACAGAGAUUACCAUGACCCCCAUGCAAAGAUGACAUGAAAAUUUAUGAAGUGUACCAUAUUUUU
This is a small nuclear RNA of Molossus molossus (Pallas's mastiff bat), 105 nucleotides long. The record is from RefSeq and is a predicted model, not a curated record. Lineage: Eukaryota; Metazoa; Chordata; Mammalia; Chiroptera; Molossidae.